CAAUACACGCAAAGCUCGCAUUGAGUUGUCUCGCGAGACAUAAACACGCGCUGUCGGGGGUAAUGACAUCGUUGAAUUUCAUGUGAGAUACAUGUCGUGCGCUGGUGUGUGUUAGCACACAUGCAAAGCAUAAUCAAUGACGUCACACGGCGUGAAGCAAACGCGUCGUGCGCUGCGUUGUGUGCGUUGUGUGCUGGUGUGUGUGACCAUACAAAGAAAGCUUUACAUCAGCGCGCCGUGGCCACUGAUGGAACCGACUGUUUCUUUGACGAAAGUUAACCUAACCCGCGUACAAAAUGGCGCAAAAUGUCACGAAUUUAUCAUGCAUCAAGUUAUAUUUUCUUUAGUAUAAUAAUUACAUUCGUUUAGUUAUGCAACUUGUUCAUAGUGAUAAUUGUAGAAAAGUGUAGAAAAAUGACACUUGCAUUAUAUCCUGGGAUGAAGAAACGUUAUUUUAUGUCGAUUUCUUUAGAUGACAAAGGAGGUAACCAAAUAGCAUAUCUUACAAAAUCUGAGGACAAUAAUAAGGAUCGUUUAUCAAGUCGGUUGAGAAGCGGAUCGAGAAUGAUUGUUUGAAUAUAAGUCGUACAAAACUGGAAUGAAACGAUGAACAAUAUACAGAUCUUUAGACAGGCUCAAAUAAUAUAUGUUUAGGAGCAAAUUGAAGAUAAUGGAGAUUUAUCUUCUUAAUAUAAAACCUCUAAAAUUGGGAACAGUAUGUCGUAUAUGCAUGAACUUGAUUGAUGUAUUGAUGUAUAAUGAACUGAAGAUAGAAUGAAUUCAAUCAGGUUAAAAAAAAUGUAUGUGCAAAAGCGACUCGAAGACGAUUUAGAUUUGUCUCCUGAAUAUAAAACUUCCAAGAAGUACAUCAUAUAUGAAUAUCCUGUAUCCUCGCAUUUGAUGUAUUGAACUGGCGAUAGAAUGAAAUCAGUCAGUGUUAAAAAUGUAUGUAUAAAAGCGACUUUAAGAUGAUGGAGAUUUGUACACUGAACAUGUAGAAAACUUCCAAAAUUUGGGGCAGUAUGUCAUAUGUGCAUAAUCUGUAUCCUGGCAUUUGAUGCAAUGAACUGGCGAUAGAAUGAAAUAAUGAAAAAUAGGCAGGCUGUUUGAUGUAUAAGGAAGUGGCGAUAGAAUACUUAUGCAACACUUCACACUUCACGCCCCAAAAAUAGAAUUACGUUCAUUAGAUAUACAACAAUUUUCAUUAAAUAUACUGUUAUUAAUAUGUUAAGAUUGAAUAAUUUGUAAAAAGUUUUCUAGUAUAGUUCAUGUUAAAAUUUUAUAAUUUCAAAACUACAAUUCUAAUUUGUAAUAUUUAAAUAUUGUAAAAUUUCUUAUUAUUCACGUAAAUAAAUGCUUAUUCGUACA
Ctenocephalides felis (cat flea) is the source of this 1368-nucleotide long non-coding RNA. RefSeq lists it as uncharacterized. The transcript is spliced from 7 exons. The record is from RefSeq and is a predicted model, not a curated record. NCBI's taxonomy places the organism in Eukaryota, Metazoa, Arthropoda, Insecta, Siphonaptera, Pulicidae.